Molecule: long non-coding RNA, 1296 nt
Filed under: Homo sapiens (human)
Lineage: Eukaryota; Metazoa; Chordata; Mammalia; Primates; Hominidae
Description: PREDICTED lncRNA (TCONS_00160332)
Source: RNAcentral
CAAAGAUAAAAAAAGACAAAGAAGAACAUCACAAUGAUAAAGGAAUCAAUUCAACAAGAAGAGCUAACUAUCCUAAAUAUGUAUGCACCCAAUACAGGAGAACCCAGAUUCACAAAACAAGUUCUUAGAGACCUACAAAGAGACUCAGGCUACCACACAACAAUAGUGGGAGACAUUAACACCCCAUUGUCAAUAUUGGAUCAUCUAGGCAGAAAAUUGACCAGAAAGGACUUGAACACAGCUCUGGAUCAAGUGAAUCUCAUAGAUAUCUACAGAACUCUCCAACACGAAACAACAGACUAUAUAUUAUUCUUAGUGGCAUAUGACACUCUAAAAUUGAUCACAAAAUUAGAAUUAAAACACUCCUCAGCAAAUGCAAAAUAACUGAAAUCAUAACAAUCUCUCAGACCACAGUGCAAUCAAAUUAGAACUCAAGAUUAAGAAACUCACUCAAAACCACACAACUACAUGGAUAUUGAACAACGUGCUCCUGAGUGACUUCUGGGUAAAUAAUAAAAUUAAGGCAGAAAUCAAGAAGCUCUUUGAAACCAAUGAGAACAAAGAGACAAUGUACCAGAAUCUCUGGGAGGCAACUAAAGCAGUGUUAAGAGUUUCUCCACAGACACUACCCAAAGCAGUGCUUCACUACAGUGGCAGACAGACCUGAAAAUUUUCAUCUGAAGCAGCAGAGUGAACUGCAGAGGCAGGUCACCAACCAGUGUGGAGGCUAAAAGCGGGCCUCUUUGGGGAUUCCAGGUGGAAGUGUUGGACAUCUGUAGUAUUCCUGGUCUCGAAUCAUCCUGAUAUUCUUCAUUUUGUUAUUCACAUUGGACUAGGGAACAAAGAUCACCACAACUGGCUCCCCUUCAACUAUGUUAGAUGGCAACUUGCCUUCAGUAUGGUGAAACACAUCAGUUAAGACCGGGGUUGUGCAUGGCAGGACUUUCUACAAGGACACCCAGUCUCCUUAAUAAACAUGAGAUGCUCUCUUUCCAGAAUUUCUCUUGCCUGACACAGCAUAGGAAGAUGCUGAACGGCCACACAGUGAUCCAUUGAGAUAGAAUCUCACUAUGUUGACCAGGCUGGUCUUGAACUCUUGGCACCCAAGCGAUCCUUUUGCCUGGAAUCCCAAAGUGUCAGAUUUACUGAAGAAUAUUUCAUUGUAAUUACUUUUUAUACUUUAUAGGUCAAGAGCUCUGUUUUAAAUACAAAAUUUAUUGAAUAUACUUUUUCAAACAAAGUUUCAUGUUCUAAUCAUUGUCUGAUUUCAGCAUUAAAUGAAACACAGUAAAGAAA